CUCAAAGAUUAAGCCAUGCAUGUGUAAGUUUAACCUGCCAGACAGGGAAACUGCGUACGGCUCAUUACACCAGCUAUAAUUUACUUGACCUUGACUUCUUACUUGGAUAACUGUGGUAAUUCUAGAGCUAAUACAUGCACCAAAGCUCCAAUCUCCCCAGAGCGGAGCGCAUUUGUUCGCCACAAAACCAAGCGCCCUCCGGGCGUCCAGUGUUGACUCAGAACAACUAAGCUGAUCGCACGGUCUUGUACCGGCGACGUGUCUUUCAAGUGUCUGCCUUAUCAACUUUCGAUGGUAGUGUAUCUGACUACCAUGGUGAUGACGGGUAACGGAGGAUAAGGGUUCGACUCCGGAGAAGGGGCCUGAGAAAUGGCCACUACGUCUAAGGAUGGCAGCAGGCGCGCAAAUUACCCACUCUCAACGCGAGGAGGUAGUGACGAGAAAUAACGAGACCGAUCUCUUAUGAGGCCGGUCAUCGGAAUGGGUACAAUUUAAACCCUUUAACGAGUAUCUAUGAGAGGGCAAGUCUGGUGCCAGCAGCCGCGGUAAUUCCAGCUCUCAAAAUGCAUAGAAUUAUUGCUGCGGUUAAAAAGCUCGUAGUUGGAUCUGUGCUAGCCGUCCGGUGCACACUUUGUGUGUUACUGGUUUGGUUGGCUUUUCUACCGGUCUUUCCCCGGCGUUGGCCUUUACCGGUCGGCGUCGGUGGGCUGGCGAGUUUACUGGCCUUUACCGGUCGGCGUCGGUGGGCUGGCGAGUUUACUUUGAACAAAUCAGAGUGCUUCAAACAGGCGUUUCGCUUGAAUGUUCGUGCAUGGAAUAAUAGAAGAGGAUUUCGGUCCGAUUUUAUUGGUUUUGCUGACCGAGAUAAUGGUUAACAGAGACAAACGGGGCCAUUCGUAUUGCUACGUGAGAGGUGAAAUUCUUGGACCGUAGCAAGACGGACUACAGCGAAAGCAUUUGGCAAGAAUGUCUUCAUUAAUCAAGAACGAAAGUCAGAGGUUCGAAGGCGAUCAGAUACCGCCCUAGUUCUGACCGUAAA
This 1039-nucleotide ribosomal RNA is filed under the name Heterodera glycines (soybean cyst nematode). RNAcentral's name for it is "SSU rRNA". It matches the Rfam family "Eukaryotic small subunit ribosomal RNA", at positions 36 to 1036 of the family's 1831-position model. Lineage: Eukaryota; Metazoa; Nematoda; Chromadorea; Rhabditida; Heteroderidae. The record is from RNAcentral.